AACGCACCUUGCGCUCCUUGGUAUUCCGAGGAGCAUGCCUGUUUGAGUGUCAUGGUAUUCUCAAUUCACCAAGUCUUUUGUAAGACUUUGGUGAUAUUGGACUUGGAGGUUCUUGCUGGCAUCUUGCUUGAAACCAGCUCCUCUUAAAUGCAUUAGUGUGAAUGGUCACUUCAUACUCAGUGUGAUAAUUCUUUGCACUGUGUUUGGGUGUUAUAUAUUCAUGCUUCUAAUUGUCGCGAGACAUUACUUUGACUUCUGACCUCAAAUCAGGUAGGACUACCCGCUGAACUUAA
RNAcentral lists this unclassified non-coding RNA (293 nucleotides) under uncultured fungus. RNAcentral describes it as "partial contains 5.8S ribosomal RNA, internal transcribed spacer 2, and large subunit ribosomal RNA". The stretch from base 1 to 52 matches the Rfam family "5.8S ribosomal RNA", at positions 103 to 154 of the family's 154-position model. Lineage: Eukaryota; Fungi. The record is from RNAcentral.